This 442-nucleotide ribosomal RNA is filed under the name uncultured bacterium. Its description in RNAcentral is "partial 16S ribosomal RNA". It matches the Rfam family "Bacterial small subunit ribosomal RNA", at positions 338 to 795 of the family's 1533-position model. The record is from RNAcentral.
CCUACGGGAGGCAGCAGUGGGGGAUAUUGCACAAUGGGGGAAACCCUGAUGCAGCGACGCCGCGUGGGCGAAGAAGUAUUUCGGUAUGUAAAGCCCUAUCAGCAGGGAAGAAGAAAUGACGGUACCUGAGUAAGAACCACCGGCUAAAUACGUGCCAGCAGCCGCGGUAAUACGUAUGGUGCAAGCGUUAUCCGGAUUUACUGGGUGUAAAGGGAGCGCAGGCGGCAAGGCAAGCCUGAUGUGAAAGCCCGGGGCCUAACCGCGGGACUGCAUUGGAAACUACCGGGCUGGAGUGCAGGAGAGGUAGGCGGAAUUCCGAGUGUAGCGGUGAAAUGCGUAGAUAUUAGGAGGAACACCAGUGGCGAAGGCGGCCUACUGGACGGUGACUGACGCUGAGGCUCGAAAGCGUGGGGAGCAAACAGGAUUAGAUACCCGAGUAGUC